RNAcentral lists this ribosomal RNA (312 nucleotides) under uncultured eukaryote. RNAcentral's name for it is "partial 18S ribosomal RNA". It matches the Rfam family "Eukaryotic small subunit ribosomal RNA", at positions 1470 to 1796 of the family's 1831-position model. The record is from RNAcentral.
CCCUUAGAUGUUCUGGGCCGCACGCGCAAUACAAUGUAAAGUUCAGAAAGCAUAUCCUGUUCCGGAAGGCAAUGGGUAAUCUUUUCAAUAUUUUACGUGUUAGGGAUCGAUCUUUGCAAUUAUAGAUCUUGAACGAGGAAUACCUAGUAAGUGCAGCUCAUCAGGCUGUACUGAUUACGUCCCUGCCCUUUGUACACACCGCCCGUCGCUCCUACCGAUUUCGAGUGGUCCGGUGAAUCUUUUGGAAUUAGAGUGCAAACUCAAACUAAGAUCGAUAAACCUUAUCACUUAGAGGAAGGAGAAGUCGUAACA